AACGAACGCUGGUGGCGUGCUUAACACAUGCAAGUCGAACGAGAAAGUUUCCUUCGGGAAAUUAGUAAAGUGGCGCAAGGGUGAGUAUCACGUGAAUAAUCUGCCCUCGAGAUCGGGAUAACAUGGUGAAAACUAUGCUAAUACCGGAUAAGACCACAUUUCAUAAGAAAUGCGGUAAAAGGAGUCUCAAUCUUCACUCGAGGAUGAGUUCGCGCAACAUUAGCUUGUUGGUGAGAUAAAAGCUCACCAAGGCUACGAUGUUUAGCCGGCCUGAGAGGGUGAACGGCCACACUGGAACUGAGACACGGUCCAGACUCCUACGGGAGGCAGCAGUGGGGAAUCUUGCACAAUGGAGGAAACUCUGAUGCAGCGAUGCCGCGUGAGUGAAG
This 389-nucleotide ribosomal RNA is filed under the name uncultured Nitrospina sp. RNAcentral describes it as "bacterial SSU rRNA". It matches the Rfam family "Bacterial small subunit ribosomal RNA", at positions 29 to 410 of the family's 1533-position model. The record is from RNAcentral. Lineage: Bacteria; Pseudomonadati; Nitrospinota; Nitrospinia; Nitrospinales; Nitrospinaceae.